Molecule: small nucleolar RNA, 138 nt
Organism: Tachyglossus aculeatus (Australian echidna)
Lineage: Eukaryota; Metazoa; Chordata; Mammalia; Monotremata; Tachyglossidae
Source: RefSeq, a predicted model, not a curated record
UCCCUCUCAGGGUCGCACCUGGAGAGUUUCCAGUACUCUACCAGUCUCGGCUUUGGGAGAGAGAGUCAAGUAGAGGCAGAUCCAUUCCACUCCUAGCUUGGCCAGUGGCUUGGGAGUGGAAGGCAACCUGCUACAAGU